RNAcentral lists this ribosomal RNA (529 nucleotides) under uncultured bacterium. Its description in RNAcentral is "bacterial SSU rRNA". It matches the Rfam family "Bacterial small subunit ribosomal RNA", at positions 791 to 1396 of the family's 1533-position model. The record is from RNAcentral.
UAGUCCAUGCCGUCAACUAUGAGAGCUCAUCUUAGAAAAACUGAGAUUUAGUUAACACGUUAAGCUCUUCGCCAGGGAAGUACGAUUGCAAGGUUAAAACUCAAAGGAAUUGACGGGAAUCCAUACAAACGGUGGAGCAUGUGGUUUAAUUCGAUACAACGCGUAAAAUCUUACCAGACUUUGUAUAAAUUUACUAUGAAUUUACAAGAUUGCAUGGCUGUCGUCAGUCCGUGUUGUGAAACGUUUGGUUAAUUCCAGUGAACGGACGCAACUUUUAUGUUUAAAUAUUUUUUAUUAGGCAAAUUGUUAAGAAAUACUUAAAGGAAGGUGAAAAUGACGUCAAGUCAUCAUGGCCCUUACGGGCUGGGCUACACACGUGCUACAAUGGCGACCAUAGUGAGUUAAUCCCAAAAAGUCGUCUCAGUUCGGAUUGUCCUCUGCAACUCGAGGGCAUGAAGUUGGAAUCGCUAGUAAUCGCGGAUCAGCAUGCCGCGGUGAAUACGUUCCCGGGCCUCGCACACACCGCCCG